AUGAGAGUUAAGGCAGCCUUCUUUAAUAGAACAAAGUUUAUUGUCGGCGAUGGUAACGAUACUCGCUUCUGGGAGGACACUUGGCUUGGUGAGACACCUUUGGCAUUACAGUACCCAACUAUGUAUCGUAUUGUGCAUCGUCGUGAUGCGCUUGUGGCAACGAUUAUGCAGGCCACCCCCCUUAAUAUUCAGUUUAGGAGGGUGCUUGUUGGUAAUAGAUGGGAAGCUUGGCUUCAUCUGGUGUGUAGACUGAUGGAGGUUCAGCUACAGCACCAGCCCGAUCAGUUGUGUUGGAAACUUACUAGGUCUAGACAAUUUACCGUUAAAUCGAUGUACAUCGAUGUUAUUAACUCGAGUGUCAUUCCUAACUCCAAACAUGUUUGGAAAGUCAAAGUUCCUUUGAAAAUCAAAGUGUUUAUGUGGUUUGUCCAUAAACAGGUCAUUCUAACAAAGGACAACUUAGUUAAGCGCAAUUGGACAGGAUCUACUAGGUGUAGUUUCUGUGAUCAGGAUGAAACCAUCAAGCAUCUAUUCUUUGAGUGCCCGUUGGCAAGAAUUUUGUGGCGCUCCGUGCAAAUUGCUUUUAACAUUACUCCUCCGAGUUCGGUCGGGUCGUUAUUUGGAACGUGGCUGGAUGGGAUAGAGUCCGUUACAGCUAGACACAUUCGUGUAGGAGUUUGUGCGUUGUUAUGGGCAAUUUGGAACUGCAGAAAUGAUUUGGCUUUUAACAGAAUAACUACUAUUCAUUUUUUGCAGGUUGUAUUCCGUGCUACGGCGUUGAUCCGUAUGUGGUCCCUACUCACUCCGACGGAGGCCAGGGAGCGUUUGGUUACUGGAUCUGUCCGGUGGGAGAUGGUAGCGCGGGAUAUCUUCAACCGGUUUGGAUGGCGGUCAUGUAAUAGGAUAGGUAAUUAG
Molecule: ribosomal RNA, 915 nt
Filed under: Triticum aestivum (bread wheat)
Lineage: Eukaryota; Viridiplantae; Streptophyta; Magnoliopsida; Poales; Poaceae
Description: partial small subunit ribosomal RNA
Source: RNAcentral